This 253-nucleotide ribosomal RNA is filed under the name uncultured bacterium. RNAcentral's name for it is "partial 16S ribosomal RNA". It matches the Rfam family "Bacterial small subunit ribosomal RNA", at positions 524 to 776 of the family's 1533-position model. The record is from RNAcentral.
UACGUAGGGGGCGAGCGUUGUCCGGAUUUAUUGGGCGUAAAGAGCGUGUAGGCGGCCAGGUAGGUCCGUUGUGAAAACUCGAGGCUCAACCUCGAGACGUCGGCGGAAACCCUCUGGCUAGAGUCCGGAAGAGGAGAGUGGAAUUCCUGGUGUAGCGGUGAAAUGCGCAGAUAUCAGGAAGAACACCCGUGGCGAAGGCGGCUCUCUGGGACGGUACUGACGCUGAGACGCGAAAGCGUGGGGAGCGAACAGG